Molecule: unclassified non-coding RNA, 336 nt
Filed under: soil metagenome
Description: partial contains 5.8S ribosomal RNA, internal transcribed spacer 2, and large subunit ribosomal RNA
Rfam family: 5.8S ribosomal RNA (bases 1-120)
Source: RNAcentral
GAUGAAGAACGUAGCGAAAUGCGAUAAGUAAUGUGAAUUGCAGAAUUCAGUGAAUCAUCGAAUCUUUGAACGCACAUUGCGCCCGCCAGUAUUCUGGCGGGCAUGCCUGUUCGAGCGUCAUUUCAACCAUCAAGCCCCAGGCUUGUGUUGGGGACCUGCGGCUGCCGCAGGCCCUGAAAACCAGUGGCGGGCUCGCUGUCACACCGGGCGUAGUAGAUUUUAUCACGCUCAGGGCGUGCUGCGGGUUCCGGCCGUUAAAAAGCCUUUUUUACCCAAGGUUGACCUCGGAUCAGGUAGGAAGACCCGCUGAACUUAAGCAUAUCAAUAAGCGGAGGA